GCCUGGAUAGUUUAUUUAAAAUAAUAAUUUGUGGAGUUAUAGAUGUAAUUUACUCUGGGCC
This 61-nucleotide transfer RNA is filed under the name Phymata americana. RNAcentral describes it as "tRNA-His". The record is from RNAcentral. Lineage: Eukaryota; Metazoa; Arthropoda; Insecta; Hemiptera; Phymatidae.